GACGAACGCUGGCGGCGUGCUUAACACAUGCAAGUCGAACGGAAAGGCCCUGCUUUUGUGGGGUGCUCGAGUGGCGAACGGGUGAGUAACACGUGAGUAACCUGCCCUUGACUUUGGGAUAACUUCAGGAAACUGGGGCUAAUACCGGAUAGGAGCUCCUGCUGCAUGGUGGGGGUUGGAAAGUUUCGGCGGGUGGGGAUGGACUCGCGGCUUAUCAGCUUGUUGGUGGGGUAGUGGCUUACCAAGGCUUUGACGGGUAGCCGGCCUGAGAGGGUGACCGGCCACAUUGGGACUGAGAUACGGCCCAGACUCCUACGGGAGGCAGCAGUGGGGAAUAUUGCACAAUGGGCGGAAGCCUGAUGCAGCAACGCCGCGUGCGGGAUGACGGCCUUCGGGUUGUAAACCGCUUUCGCCUGUGACGAAGCGUGAGUGGCGGUAAUAGGUAAAGAAGCACCGGCUAACUACGUG
Molecule: ribosomal RNA, 468 nt
Filed under: uncultured bacterium
Lineage: Bacteria
Description: partial 16S ribosomal RNA
Rfam family: Bacterial small subunit ribosomal RNA
Source: RNAcentral